GUGCUCACUUCGGCAGCACAUGUCCUAAAACUGGAAGGACACAGCGUUAGCAUAGCCCCUGCGCCAGGAAGACGUGCAAAUUCAGGAAGGGUUCCAUAUUUUU
Small nuclear RNA from Ailuropoda melanoleuca (giant panda), 103 nucleotides. NCBI's taxonomy places the organism in Eukaryota, Metazoa, Chordata, Mammalia, Carnivora, Ursidae. The record is from Ensembl.